RNAcentral lists this transfer RNA (81 nucleotides) under Acetatifactor muris. It matches the Rfam family "tRNA". Rfam says of the family: Transfer RNA (tRNA) molecules are approximately 80 nucleotides in length. Their secondary structure includes four short double-helical elements and three loops (D, anti-codon, and T loops). Lineage: Bacteria; Bacillati; Bacillota; Clostridia; Lachnospirales; Lachnospiraceae. RNAcentral also lists the same sequence under 1 other name. The record is from Rfam by way of RNAcentral.
GCGGAUAUGGCGGAAUUGGCAGACGCGCCAGAUUUAGGUUCUGGUACUGUUAGUGUGGGGGUUCAAGUCCCCCUAUCCGCA